RNAcentral lists this ribosomal RNA (301 nucleotides) under uncultured bacterium. RNAcentral's name for it is "partial 16S ribosomal RNA". It matches the Rfam family "Bacterial small subunit ribosomal RNA", at positions 509 to 807 of the family's 1533-position model. The record is from RNAcentral.
CAGCCGCCGCGGGAAUACGGAGGGAGCUAGCGUUGUUCGGAAUUACUGGGCGUAAAGCGCGCGUAGGCGGUUACUCAGGUCAGAGGUGAAAGCCCGGGGCUCAACCCCGGAACUGCCUUUGAAACUAGGUGACUAGAAUCUUGGAGAGGUCAGUGGAAUCCCGAGUGUAGAGGUGAAAUUCGUAGAUAUUCGGAAGAACACCAGUGGCGAAGGCGACUGACUGGACAAGUAUUGACGCUGAGGUGCGAAAGCGUGGGGAGCAGACAGGAUUAGAUACCCCCGUAGUCCCUGUCUCUUAUAC